AUGGGUUGCCACAAAGCCGGCACACACCACCGUUGGGGCGUCAGAUCUUCAACCACCUCGCCGGAGUUGCUACCAGCGGUGGUGCUGGAUGCUACAACCACCUUUCGAUGGAGCUGCAUCCACAGGCGUCUGACAACGGAGAGCUGCAACCGUGCACUCGAUGCGGUCCGGCAGCAACCGCCGCAGGUCUCUGACCAUGGCGCGGCUCGAGUUUUUUGUGUGUGUUGGAAUCAGGUUCUUUUUUUGCUCGAAACAUCACUAAAUUUUCCUACCAGUGUCUUCGAUUUUCGUUGGAUACCAACCCAGAUUUUGCUCCCAUGUUUGUUUUUGUUGGAAAUAGCGUGUUAA
Molecule: ribosomal RNA, 348 nt
Filed under: Triticum aestivum (bread wheat)
Lineage: Eukaryota; Viridiplantae; Streptophyta; Magnoliopsida; Poales; Poaceae
Description: partial small subunit ribosomal RNA
Source: RNAcentral